AUUGAACGCUGGCGGCAUGCCUUACACAUGCAAGUCGAACGGCAGCGCGGACUUCGGUCUGGCGGCGAGUGGCGAACGGGUGAGUAAUACAUCGGAACGUACCCUGUUGUGGGGGAUAACUAGUCGAAAGAUUAGCUAAUACCGCAUACGACCUGAGGGUGAAAGUGGGGGAUCGCAAGGCCUCGCGCAGCAGGAGCGGCCGAUGUCUGAUUAGCUAGUUGGUGGGGUAAAGGCCCACCAAGGCGACGAUCAGUAGCUGGUCUGAGAGGACGAUCAGCCACACUGGGACUGAGACACGGCCCAGACUCCUACGGGAGGCAGCAGUGGGGAAUUUUGGACAAUGGGGGCAACCCUGAUCCAGCAAUGCCGCGUGUGUGAAGAAGGCCUUCGGGUUGUAAAGCACUUUUGUCCGGAAAGAAAUCGCGCUGGUUAAUACCUGGCGUGGAUGACGGUACCGGAAGAAUAAGCACCGGCUAACUACGUG
This 484-nucleotide ribosomal RNA is filed under the name uncultured bacterium. Its description in RNAcentral is "partial 16S ribosomal RNA". It matches the Rfam family "Bacterial small subunit ribosomal RNA", at positions 30 to 507 of the family's 1533-position model. The record is from RNAcentral.